UACGGAGGGGGCUAGCGUUGUUCGGAAUUACUGGGCGUAAAGCGCGCGUAGGCGGACCUGCAAGUCGGGGGUGAAAGCCCGAGGCUCAACCUCGGAACUGCCUUCGAUACUGCGGGUCUCGAGUCCGGGAGAGGUGAGUGGAAUUCCUAGUGUAGAGGUGAAAUUCGUAGAUGUUAGGAAGAACACCAGUGGCGAAGGCGGCUCACUGGCCCGGUACUGACGCUGAGGCGCGAAAGCGUGGGGAGCAAACAGG
This 253-nucleotide ribosomal RNA is filed under the name uncultured bacterium. RNAcentral describes it as "partial 16S ribosomal RNA". It matches the Rfam family "Bacterial small subunit ribosomal RNA", at positions 524 to 776 of the family's 1533-position model. The record is from RNAcentral.